This 497-nucleotide ribosomal RNA is filed under the name uncultured bacterium. Its description in RNAcentral is "partial 16S ribosomal RNA". It matches the Rfam family "Bacterial small subunit ribosomal RNA", at positions 28 to 507 of the family's 1533-position model. The record is from RNAcentral.
GAUGAACGCUGGCGGCGUGCCUAAUACAUGCAAGUCGAGCGAACGGACGAGAAGCUUGCUUCUCUGAUGUUAGCGGCGGACGGGUGAGUAACACGUGGAUAACCUACCUAUAAGACUGGGAUAACUUCGGGAAUCCGGAGCUAAUCCCGGAUGAUAUUUUGAUCCGCAUGGUUCAAAAGUGAAAGACGGUCUUGCUGUCUCUUAUAGAUGGAUCCGCGCUGCAUUAGCUAGUUGGUAAGGUAACGGCUUACCAAGGCAACGAUGCAUAGCCGACCUGAGAGGGGGAUCGGCCACACUGGAACUGAGACACGGUCCAGACGCCUACGGGAGGCAGCAGUAGGGAAUCUUCCGCAAUAGGCGAAAGCCUGACGGAGCGGCGCCGCGUGAGUGAUGAAGGUCUUCGGAUCGUAAAACUCUGUUAUUAGGGGAGAACAUAUGUGUAAGUAACUGUGCACAUCUUGACGGUACCUAAUCAGAAAGCCACGGCUAACUACGUG